This 391-nucleotide ribosomal RNA is filed under the name uncultured bacterium. RNAcentral describes it as "bacterial SSU rRNA". It matches the Rfam family "Bacterial small subunit ribosomal RNA", at positions 30 to 425 of the family's 1533-position model. The record is from RNAcentral.
AUUGAACGCUGGCGGCAUGCCUUACACAUGCAAGUCGAACGGCAGCGGACCUUCGGGUGCCGGCGAGCGGCGAACGGGUGAGUAAUAUAUCGGAACGUACCUUUCAGUGGGGGAUAACGUAGCGAAAGUUACGCUAAUACCGCAUAUUCUGUGAGCAGGAAAGCAGGGGAUCGCAAGACCUUGCGCUGAUUGAGCGGCCGAUAUCAGAUUAGCUAGUUGGUGAGGUAAAGGCUCACCAAGGCGACGAUCUGUAGCGGGUCUGAGAGGAUGAUCCGCCACACUGGAACUGAGACACGGUCCAGACUCCUACGGGAGGCAGCAGUGGGGAAUUUUGGACAAUGGGCGCAAGCCUGAUCCAGCCAUGCCGCGUGAGUGAAGAAGGCCUCGGUUG